AUGCACAACUCAUUACCCUUAGCGUAUGAUCUGUGCACACUGUUUUGUAUUAUUCUGUUUCGACAAUUUUACUUAAGUGUCCAUGCUUUUGUGUCUUCCCUGUUAUUGUCCAUGGCCACUCAUAGUUUUCACAUGUCUUCUUUUCAAUUAUCUUGGUUGAACCGGGUCAUCAAACUGAUUCUUGCGGAGUUGUUUGGUGUUUUGACAGGAUCUUUUGAUAGGAGAGGCCACAAGAGGGGGGCAACAAAACUGUUGGUUGUGAUCAUGGCUUCAGUAUCGGGUGUUAUGAUAUUCAACAUGAGCUAUCGUAGGCCUUCUGUUAUGUGCAAUUUUUAUGAUUGUGUCCUAAAAACACAUCUCUGUUUCUCAUUCAAGUCAAAGCGAAUAAAACAAGUUUCAUGCAUUUCAUGUCUACAACUUCUAUAUAAAAAACAUUUGGGUACCUGGCUAAAAGAAAUUGACAUUGCCUCAGUCUCCUCUCUUGCUGCUAGCUGCGAACCUGAAGAAGAGAGAUAUUAA
This 519-nucleotide ribosomal RNA is filed under the name Triticum aestivum (bread wheat). RNAcentral describes it as "partial small subunit ribosomal RNA". The record is from RNAcentral. Lineage: Eukaryota; Viridiplantae; Streptophyta; Magnoliopsida; Poales; Poaceae.